AAGAUUAAGCCAUGCAUGUCUAAGUAUAAACACUUUUAUACACGUGAAACUGCGAAUGGCUCAUUAAAACAGUUAUAGUUCCUUUGAGAAUCAUACUACUUGGAUAACCGUAGUAAUUCUAGAGCUAAUACAUGCCUUAACGCCCGACUCACGAAGGGUGGUAUUUAUUGGAUAAAAAACCAUCGCGCUCAGCAAUGACCGCUUUGAGAUGAUUCACAAUAACUUGUCGGAUCGCACGGCCUCGCGCCGGCGACUCCUCAUUCAAAUUUCUGCCCUAUCAACUUUCGAUGGUAGAGUAUUGGUCUACCAUGGUGUCGACGGGUAACGGGGAAUUAGGGUUCGAUUCCGGAGAGGGAGCCUGAGAAACGGCUACCACAUCCAAGGAAGGCAGCAGGCGCGCAAAUUACCCAAUCCCGACUCGGGGAGGUAGUGACAAAAAAUAACAAUAGGGGGCCCUUUGGGUCUUCUAAUUGGAAUGAGAACAAUUUAAAUCCGUUAUCGAGGAUCCAUUGGAGGGCAAGUCUGGU
This 527-nucleotide ribosomal RNA is filed under the name Porphyra sp. THU1206. RNAcentral describes it as "SSU rRNA". It matches the Rfam family "Eukaryotic small subunit ribosomal RNA", at positions 40 to 565 of the family's 1831-position model. The record is from RNAcentral. Lineage: Eukaryota; Rhodophyta; Bangiophyceae; Bangiales; Bangiaceae.